RNAcentral lists this ribosomal RNA (2921 nucleotides) under Staphylococcus aureus. Its description in RNAcentral is "bacterial LSU rRNA". It matches the Rfam family "Bacterial large subunit ribosomal RNA". Lineage: Bacteria; Bacillati; Bacillota; Bacilli; Caryophanales; Staphylococcaceae. The record is from RNAcentral. RNAcentral also lists the same sequence under 1 other name.
UUAAGUUAUUAAGGGCGCACGGUGGAUGCCUUGGCACUAGAAGCCGAUGAAGGACGUUACUAACGACGAUAUGCUUUGGGGAGCUGUAAGUAAGCUUUGAUCCAGAGAUUUCCGAAUGGGGAAACCCAGCAUGAGUUAUGUCAUGUUAUCGAUAUGUGAAUACAUAGCAUAUCAGAAGGCACACCCGGAGAACUGAAACAUCUUAGUACCCGGAGGAAGAGAAAGAAAAUUCGAUUCCCUUAGUAGCGGCGAGCGAAACGGGAAGAGCCCAAACCAACAAGCUUGCUUGUUGGGGUUGUAGGACACUCUAUACGGAGUUACAAAGGACGACAUUAGACGAAUCAUCUGGAAAGAUGAAUCAAAGAAGGUAAUAAUCCUGUAGUCGAAAAUGUUGUCUCUCUUGAGUGGAUCCUGAGUACGACGGAGCACGUGAAAUUCCGUCGGAAUCUGGGAGGACCAUCUCCUAAGGCUAAAUACUCUCUAGUGACCGAUAGUGAACCAGUACCGUGAGGGAAAGGUGAAAAGCACCCCGGAAGGGGAGUGAAAUAGAACCUGAAACCGUGUGCUUACAAGUAGUCAGAGCCCGUUAAUGGGUGAUGGCGUGCCUUUUGUAGAAUGAACCGGCGAGUUACGAUUUGAUGCAAGGUUAAGCAGUAAAUGUGGAGCCGUAGCGAAAGCGAGUCUGAAUAGGGCGUUUAGUAUUUGGUCGUAGACCCGAAACCAGGUGAUCUACCCUUGGUCAGGUUGAAGUUCAGGUAACACUGAAUGGAGGACCGAACCGACUUACGUUGAAAAGUGAGCGGAUGAACUGAGGGUAGCGGAGAAAUUCCAAUCGAACCUGGAGAUAGCUGGUUCUCUCCGAAAUAGCUUUAGGGCUAGCCUCAAGUGAUGAUUAUUGGAGGUAGAGCACUGUUUGGACGAGGGGCCCCUCUCGGGUUACCGAAUUCAGACAAACUCCGAAUGCCAAUUAAUUUAACUUGGGAGUCAGAACAUGGGUGAUAAGGUCCGUGUUCGAAAGGGAAACAGCCCAGACCACCAGCUAAGGUCCCAAAAUAUAUGUUAAGUGGAAAAGGAUGUGGCGUUGCCCAGACAACUAGGAUGUUGGCUUAGAAGCAGCCAUCAUUUAAAGAGUGCGUAAUAGCUCACUAGUCGAGUGACACUGCGCCGAAAAUGUACCGGGGCUAAACAUAUUACCGAAGCUGUGGAUUGUCCUUUGGACAAUGGUAGGAGAGCGUUCUAAGGGCGUUGAAGCAUGAUCGUAAGGACAUGUGGAGCGCUUAGAAGUGAGAAUGCCGGUGUGAGUAGCGAAAGACGGGUGAGAAUCCCGUCCACCGAUUGACUAAGGUUUCCAGAGGAAGGCUCGUCCGCUCUGGGUUAGUCGGGUCCUAAGCUGAGGCCGACAGGCGUAGGCGAUGGAUAACAGGUUGAUAUUCCUGUACCACCUAUAAUCGUUUUAAUCGAUGGGGGGACGCAGUAGGAUAGGCGAAGCGUGCGAUUGGAUUGCACGUCUAAGCAGUAAGGCUGAGUAUUAGGCAAAUCCGGUACUCGUUAAGGCUGAGCUGUGAUGGGGAGAAGACAUUGUGUCUUCGAGUCGUUGAUUUCACACUGCCGAGAAAAGCCUCUAGAUAGAAAAUAGGUGCCCGUACCGCAAACCGACACAGGUAGUCAAGAUGAGAAUUCUAAGGUGAGCGAGCGAACUCUCGUUAAGGAACUCGGCAAAAUGACCCCGUAACUUCGGGAGAAGGGGUGCUCUUUAGGGUUAACGCCCAGAAGAGCCGCAGUGAAUAGGCCCAAGCGACUGUUUAUCAAAAACACAGGUCUCUGCUAAACCGUAAGGUGAUGUAUAGGGGCUGACGCCUGCCCGGUGCUGGAAGGUUAAGAGGAGUGGUUAGCUUCUGCGAAGCUACGAAUCGAAGCCCCAGUAAACGGCGGCCGUAACUAUAACGGUCCUAAGGUAGCGAAAUUCCUUGUCGGGUAAGUUCCGACCCGCACGAAAGGCGUAACGAUUUGGGCACUGUCUCAACGAGAGACUCGGUGAAAUCAUAGUACCUGUGAAGAUGCAGGUUACCCGCGACAGGACGGAAAGACCCCGUGGAGCUUUACUGUAGCCUGAUAUUGAAAUUCGGCACAGCUUGUACAGGAUAGGUAGGAGCCUUUGAAACGUGAGCGCUAGCUUACGUGGAGGCGCUGGUGGGAUACUACCCUAGCUGUGUUGGCUUUCUAACCCGCACCACUUAUCGUGGUGGGAGACAGUGUCAGGCGGGCAGUUUGACUGGGGCGGUCGCCUCCUAAAAGGUAACGGAGGCGCUCAAAGGUUUCCUCAGAAUGGUUGGAAAUCAUUCAUAGAGUGUAAAGGCAUAAGGGAGCUUGACUGCGAGACCUACAAGUCGAGCAGGGUCGAAAGACGGACUUAGUGAUCCGGUGGUUCCGCAUGGAAGGGCCAUCGCUCAACGGAUAAAAGCUACCCCGGGGAUAACAGGCUUAUCUCCCCCAAGAGUUCACAUCGACGGGGAGGUUUGGCACCUCGAUGUCGGCUCAUCGCAUCCUGGGGCUGUAGUCGGUCCCAAGGGUUGGGCUGUUCGCCCAUUAAAGCGGUACGCGAGCUGGGUUCAGAACGUCGUGAGACAGUUCGGUCCCUAUCCGUCGUGGGCGUAGGAAAUUUGAGAGGAGCUGUCCUUAGUACGAGAGGACCGGGAUGGACAUACCUCUGGUGUACCAGUUGUCGUGCCAACGGCAUAGCUGGGUAGCUAUGUGUGGACGGGAUAAGUGCUGAAAGCAUCUAAGCAUGAAGCCCCCCUCAAGAUGAGAUUUCCCAACUUCGGUUAUAAGAUCCCUCAAAGAUGAUGAGGUUAAUAGGUUCGAGGUGGAAGCAUGGUGACAUGUGGAGCUGACGAAUACUAAUCGAUCGAAGACUUAAUCAA